Molecule: small RNA, 632 nt
Filed under: Pan troglodytes (chimpanzee)
Lineage: Eukaryota; Metazoa; Chordata; Mammalia; Primates; Hominidae
Description: processed transcript
Source: RNAcentral
AGCCCCUCUGCCUGGCUGCCCAGUCUGGAAAGUGAGGAGCGUCUCUGCCCGGCCGCCAUCCCAUCUGGGAGGUGAGGAGCGUCUCUGCCCGGCCGCCCCGUCUGAGAAGUGAGGAGCCCCUCCGCCCGGCAGCCGCCCCGUCUGAGAAGUGAGGAGCCCCUCCGCCUGGCAGCCGCCCCGUCUGAGAAGAAGAAGCCAUGGAUUUAAUAAAUAGAGAAACAAUGUCUGAAUGGAAGCUACAAAGUGAGAUACAGAUAAGUCACUCUUGGGAAGAAGGCUUGAAACUGAAUGACAACGGCUUACAGAAAUCAUCCUCUCUAAAGUGCAUUGAUUUAACUCCAGUAUCCUCAAUGGCUUCUUCCAUCAAGAAGACUGGGAAGAAGAAGUCAAAAUCCUACCAACAUUAUUAGACCAAGUAUCCUUGGACCAUUAAAAAGAAAAGGUGAAAUGGCAUUUCAAUAUCAACCAAAAAAGAUUUUCCAAGGCACAACCAACAUGCUUUCUUCUGAUACUUCCCAACUGUCAGAAAAUAAUGUGUGUCUACUUCCAGCUACUUUUGAUGGAAACGACAGCAAUGCUGGAUCUUCUGGUAAUUCGUCAGCUGAAAUCGGCACUGUCACAAACUCUCCUGU